Molecule: ribosomal RNA, 253 nt
Filed under: uncultured bacterium
Lineage: Bacteria
Description: partial 16S ribosomal RNA
Rfam family: Bacterial small subunit ribosomal RNA
Source: RNAcentral
UACGGAGGGAGCUAGCGUUGUUCGGAAUUACUGGGCGUAAAGCGCGCGUAGGCGGAUCUGCAAGUCGGGGGUGAAAUCCCGAGGCUCAACCUCGGAACUGCCUUCGAUACUGCGGGUCUCGAGUCCGGGAGAGGUGAGUGGAAUUCCUAGUGUAGAGGUGAAAUUCGUAGAUAUUAGGAAGAACACCAGUGGCGAAGGCGGCUCACUGGCCCGGUACUGACGCUGAGGCGCGAAAGCGUGGGGAGCAAACAGG